CCCCAGGGGGUGAUUGCUUAUUUUCUGUCUCUCUGCAGCUACCAGUGCCAUGGAGAUAUUUCAAGUGGAAGGAAACUAUAGAUUGAUCGACGGCCCCUUUGACUACCAUGGUCUUGCCCUAGCUAAAGAGAGCUCACAGCCACCUCCAAGCUGGUCUCAUUGUCCAUGCGGAGUCUCCGUUGCCUCUUGUAGCCAGUUGUCUACUCUUUGAGAGAGGAGAAGGACUCACCACUACCCCUUCUCUCUGAAUGAGGUGUUUUGACUGGCUCUGGUCAUCUCUCAUGGGUUCCGCGAUGCGUGUGAUUUCUAAGCCAAAGUAUUUAAUCAUCAAGGUGAGACCCUUUGAGAUGUCUUU
Molecule: long non-coding RNA, 355 nt
Organism: Tupaia belangeri chinensis (Chinese tree shrew)
Lineage: Eukaryota; Metazoa; Chordata; Mammalia; Scandentia; Tupaiidae
Exons: 4
Source: RefSeq, a predicted model, not a curated record